GAUGAACGCUGGCGGCGUGCCUAAUACAUGCAAGUCGAGCGAACAGACGAGGAGCUUGCUCCUCUGACGUUAGCGGCGGACGGGUGAGUAACACGUGGAUAACCUACCUAUAAGACUGGGAUAACUUCGGGAAACCGGAGCUAAUACCGGAUAAUAUAUUGAACCGCAUGGUUCAAUAGUGAAAGACGGUUUUGCUGUCACUUAUAGAUGGAUCCGCGCCGCAUUAGCUAGUUGGUAAGGUAACGGCUUACCAAGGCGACGAUGCGUAGCCGACCUGAGAGGGUGAUCGGCCACACUGGAACUGAGACACGGUCCAGGCUCCUACGGGAGGCAGCAGUAGGGAAUCUUCCGCAAUGGGCGAAAGCCUGACGGAGCAACGCCGCGUGAGUGAUGAAGGUCUUCGGAUCGUAAAACUCUGUUAUUAGGGAAGAACAAAUGUGUAAGUAACUAUGCACGUCUUGACGGUACCUAAUCAGAAAGCCACGGCUAACUACGCG
RNAcentral lists this ribosomal RNA (497 nucleotides) under uncultured bacterium. Its description in RNAcentral is "partial 16S ribosomal RNA". It matches the Rfam family "Bacterial small subunit ribosomal RNA", at positions 28 to 507 of the family's 1533-position model. The record is from RNAcentral.